AAUUGCUCAGUAUCGCGCCUGUACACUCGCAAUUCUCCAAGAUGUUUGGUUUCGCGAUGAUAAUUAAAAAUUAAUAGUCCCGGUAAGUGCAUGUAAGUACAUCAAUCCGAAGGAUACAGGCAAUUUUGAUCCUCACAAGUGGUACCGGGUGUUCUGGAAUGAUAACACACACUGCGGCCACUAUCACGCUCAAGUGAUUAAGCUUUACGGCACCGAGGAUGAUGCAAGGAAUGCAACAGAAAAACGACCAUCCAUUCCGCAGACCCGAUUGCGACUCCUCCGAUAGCUGCAGUUCAAAUGAAGUGGACAAUGAGUCGUUUAAAAAACAAAGAACCUUGUCCUUUGCGGGUGUUGCAGCCGCAAGCCUCAAAAACAGAAACGACUUGCACCUUUGCCACCACUAUGUG
This 407-nucleotide long non-coding RNA is filed under the name Rhipicephalus microplus (southern cattle tick). Its description in RNAcentral is "uncharacterized LOC119173451". The record is from RNAcentral. Lineage: Eukaryota; Metazoa; Arthropoda; Arachnida; Ixodida; Ixodidae.